AAGCCUCAUUAGUCAUCACCUCAAUACUUUUGAGAGUGACUUCAGUUCUGAGUUCACCUUCAACGCUUCACGCCCCUUCACCUUCAUCGCUUCACGCCGCAGGUAAGUUCUCUUUGCUUCUUCUCUUCCUCUUCUAGUACAUGGUAAAAACAUUUGCUCAAUGAAUUCCCUUUGCUUUUGGUUUGAAUCCAAGAUGACACAAUAACUUGGAUAUAUUUAUAUCUCAUUAUUCUUCAAGGGCAUUUUUCAGACAACGGGUAUUUUCUUCUCAUUUCUAUGAGAAAUUACCUUUUGCAGGGUGCCUAUAUAAUGCUACUUAUCACGAUUGGAGUAUGUUCUUGUUUAUCCUCAGCAUUUCUUCAAAUUUAAAGUAACCAAAUUAUAUCAAGCAGUGAUGAGAUAGCUAACAUGUAAGGAGAUCUAUUUUAAGCUUGGAUCAGCUUUGGAUCUUCCAUGAAAUUUUCUUGUUACGCUUGGCUUCUGCGCUUCAUCUCUUAAAUUUUCUUGUUACAAAACCUGAUGAAAAAAGCAAGGACCUAUUGCCUUUUUUGUGAAUGGGUCUCUCGUAAACUUUAGGGACAUCAAAAAUUGCAUUGUUAUUGCCAUAUAGGUUGUAUCAUGUAUGUUAGUCAUAUUACAGAGGACCUGGUAGAAGACUACUGCUUGGUGCAGCUUUAGGUGUAGGAUUUUUAGUUGCAAUCUAAUUUUUUGUACUUCCAACAGCGGAUAUUGAAAUUGGGGCAGCCACAUCUGCACUCUGAUUGUUGUUGUACUUCUAAUGACACAAUAUUCAGAUGAAGAAUUACUCUUUUAGAUUGAAGGCGACACUUAACUACUUAAUAAAGAUAUGAUCUUUCCAUUCCGCAUAACAGCCAAAGAAGAACAUCAAAAGACAAAAUUAUGUAAACAGUCAGAAAGCUCUAACCAUGAGUUGUAAAAGCAGAAAUCUUCACAUCUUUUAUUGUUGCUAAUGUGAAUAUGAUGUACUAACAUAUUUCGUGUGGACUUUGACUUCAAUAUGGGAUUACCGAAUACCGUACCGAACCGAAUUUUGAUUUACCGAUUACCGAAUUACCGAACCGAAGUUUGAAAGUUCGGUAUUUGAUAUAUACUUUGAAUUACCGAUUACCGAAUUAUCGAACCCAAACUUUGAAAAUACCGAACCGAAUACCGAAUGUCCAGCCCUAUGUGAUAGUUUGAAUUUAAGGGGGGGAAAUGAAGUAUUUUGAAAAUUAUUGUCUAAAAUAUGUUAUAUUUUCCAUGUCUCAAUUUGUGUAGCACAGUUUGAAUUUGAGAGUCAAAUAAUUUAAAUUUGGUCGUGAAUUUAGAUAUGAAAUCUUUAAGUUUUACAUAUUUGAAAACUACGUAGGAAGUAUUAUAAUUCACAGUAAUUAAUAAUUUAAGAUAUUUAAAAGAUAUAUGAAAAAAUUACAAUUAAAAAAGAUUUAUUUGAAUCUCAAUACCCAAAAGGUGUCACAUAAAUUAAAAUGGAGAGAAUAGUAUUUUUGUGGGAAAAUUUCCGUAAAUGACAAUUGUUUGGGUCUAAUUAAUUACUCAUAAUUAGGGCCGUUUAAAACCGAACCAGGACCCACUCCUCACACAACUAUUGUUUGUGUAGUGUGAAAUGGUGCACUAACAAAAGUGAGACUUGCCGGCAUAUAAACGUACAACUUCACCAGCACUAGUUUUCCCCUCUCCUUUUUCUCCUCUUCUUACUGUCAUUUCAAUUCAAAAUGCCAGUGGAUCACAACAACAAGCAUCCAUCUUUCUCCAAUCUACUUGAACAAGGCUUUAUCGAUAAAAUAGUAGUUUUUUUUUUUUUUUUUGAAACUGGUAUCUUUAUAUAAAAUACUAGUAAGUUUUUUUCUUAAAGUCUAUCUAUAAAUUGAUGAUCCUAUUUGUUAGCGAAUGCCGGCUGCUUUAGUCAAAGAACACAAGAAGAUGUUGACCAAGACGGCCUUACUUAAAACGGAUGAAAAUAUGUCUUGGGAAGCUAAGAUAGUGAGGGAGGCAUCUGAUUAUUUCAUAUGUGAAGGAGACUGGCCAUGGUUUGUGGUGUAUAACAAGUUGGAGCUAGGGGACAUGUUGAUCUUCUAUCUUGUUGAGAAAUCGACCUUCCAUGUCCUGCCCCACUCCAAGAAACCUCGUACCAACAUGUUUUGAGGAACUCAGCAGUUCCGAGGAUGAGAUAGAAAAUGUUGAUGAGAAAGAGGACGAGGAAGAGAACAUUGAAGCUUCAAGAAAAUCUAAGAAAGUUAAAACAGAGACAAUAGAAUCGUUAGCCCAUGAUACACUGUCCACCGAGUCGGUUGAUGAUUCUAUAGAGAUCCUAGAUGGUACCCCAAGAAGCAACAGAGGGAAAACGAAAUUUUCAGACAUGGUUGCGCAUUCUGUUGAAAACCUAGGCCAUUGUGAUGUCUCACUUGACAUUCGUAUCGAAAGAAUAGAGAUUGAGAACUUGCUAGAAGGUGUUGCUUCUUCUUCUUUUACAAGAGAGGACCAAUUAAUAAGCGGCAGUGAAGGCUGCAAAAUGCACAGGCAACAAUUCAGUAUUUUUUAUGAUGUGCGCAAGACAGUAAUGGACAGAGAAGGCUACAUAUCAAAGAGCAAAAGCUAAUUUCAAGUCUUAAGAAUCCAUUCUUUAUAUCUUUUAUGCAUCCUUCGUACAUCUGCUGUGGUCUGUGCAUAAAGUUGAGAUUUGCUAGGAAAUGUAUCCCGGAAAAUUGCAGCAACAUAGUACUACGUGUAGCAGGCAGGGGAUCUUGGCCUGUAUCAUACUAUCUGGGAACCGCACAAGCUAAAAUUAGCAUUGGCUGGAGAGGAUUCGUGCUUGACAAUCAGUUAAAAUUAGGUGAUGUUUGUGUAUUUGAAGUGAUUAAAGGCACUCAGAUCUUCAUGGAUGUCACUAUAUUUCGUGCAGCUGGGAGCAAGCCAAUGCAGGAAACUGAUGGGCCAGAUUUUAAUUAAUUUUCGUUACAAAUAGAUAGUUACGAAGCGAAAGGUUUCUAAAAUUUGCUCAAUAUGAAAUUAAACGAGCUAUUAUAUUCUAUAGUUCAGUCUUGCCUUUCUGACAAAUUUACAUUUAUAUUUUUGUAAUGCAUAUAUAUAUAUUUUGUUGGUUUUGA
Long non-coding RNA from Solanum dulcamara, 3125 nucleotides. RefSeq lists it as uncharacterized. The record is from RefSeq and is a predicted model, not a curated record. The transcript is spliced from 4 exons. NCBI's taxonomy places the organism in Eukaryota, Viridiplantae, Streptophyta, Magnoliopsida, Solanales, Solanaceae.